This 274-nucleotide long non-coding RNA is filed under the name Mytilus galloprovincialis (Mediterranean mussel). Lineage: Eukaryota; Metazoa; Mollusca; Bivalvia; Mytilida; Mytilidae. The record is from RNAcentral.
GAUGAACACCCAUUCUGAUUAUAGACAUACAAUGCUAAUAAUAUUAUUAAAAUAAUAAAAAAAAAAGAACAAUAAUACAAAAAACACUUAAAAUGAAAAACAAAACAAUAAAAACAAAACAAACCAUUCCCCUAAAAACAAACUCCCACCCCACCCCCCAAAACACCAAACAAACAUGCAACACGUAAAAAAUGUAAAAACGCAUCUGAUUUAUCUUUUAGUUAACAGUUUGCAAGAACAUUUUGCAACAUCACAAAACAUUGGUUGAUAAAUG